This 350-nucleotide long non-coding RNA is filed under the name Ornithorhynchus anatinus (platypus). RNAcentral's name for it is "lncRNA (ENSOANG00000037545.1)". The record is from RNAcentral. Lineage: Eukaryota; Metazoa; Chordata; Mammalia; Monotremata; Ornithorhynchidae.
CGCUGGGGACCAAGCCACAUCGAAGGCAAGUGCUGAGAGCCACCACCGCCAGUGCCGGAGACACGAGACUGCCUGAAGUUACGUUUAGAGGCUGGAAUCUCUGCACCUUGCAAACAAAGAGCCCGACCUCCUCUGCGUUCCUCUCCCGGGCGAUCAAUCACUCCACGGAUUCCUCAGCAAGGGGCAGCGCCUCAGCUCCGGCAGAUCAAUAGAGUUUUCCCAAGCAAGCUGAUGAGGCAUUGGUCUUGGGCAACAGCCCAUUUAAGGGCAGACGUGGCUCCCCCUGCUCCCGGGCCCCAAUGAACGCCUGCACUAGGCCCCAGGCCUGGAGUGAUUUGCCCGAGGAGUGA